CAUUACUUCAAAGGAAGCACAAAGGAAAAACAAUAUAUAUUUUGACUUCUCACUUUAACCAAUAAGUUGAUGGUACAGUAGGAAAAAAAAAUCUAAUAUUUAUUUUCAGAACUCAAGAGUCAACAGACCUGACUUUCAUCCUUGUUUGAUACUGAAUUGAACUGAGGAGCUCAGAUUCAUUCACAUGGACAUUCAGAUUCAAGCAUUGAGCUGGUGGAGUAUUCUGAGAUGAAGCUGGCCUGGUGUCACUAGAAUCCUUGCUUGGACAGAUCUUGUGCCUGAGCUUGGUUUCAGAUAGGAAUUAUAUCAAGGAGAAGGCAAGAAAGCAAGUAGAGAGAAAGGUAAGGAUAUUCCUACUAAGUUUUAUUAGCAGUUUAAUUAAAUUUUCAUUA
Molecule: long non-coding RNA, 392 nt
Filed under: Monodelphis domestica (gray short-tailed opossum)
Lineage: Eukaryota; Metazoa; Chordata; Mammalia; Didelphimorphia; Didelphidae
Description: lncRNA (ENSMODG00000040223.1)
Source: RNAcentral